AUUGAACGCUGGCGGCAGGCCUAACACAUGCAAGUCGAGCGGCAGCGGAAAGUAGCUUGCUACUUUGCCGGCGAGCGGCGGACGGGUGAGUAAUGUCUGGGAAACUGCCUGAUGGAGGGGGAUAACUACUGGAAACGGUAGCUAAUACCGCAUGACCUCGAAAGAGCAAAGUGGGGGAUCUUCGGACCUCACGCCAUCGGAUGUGCCCAGAUGGGAUUAGCUAGUAGGUGAGGUAAUGGCUCACCUAGGCGACGAUCCCUAGCUGGUCUGAGAGGAUGACCAGCCACACUGGAACUGAGACACGGUCCAGACUCCUACAGGAGGCAGCAGUGGGGAAUAUUGCACAAUGGGCGCAAGCCUGAUGCAGCCAUGCCGCGUGUGUGAAGAAGGCCUUAGGGUUGUAAAGCACUUUCAGCGAGGAGGAAGGCAUCAUACUUAAUACGUGUGGUGAUUGACGUUACUCGCAGAAGAAGCACCGGCUAACUCCGUGCCAGCAGCCGCGGUAAUACGGAGGGUGCAAGCGUUAAUCGGAAUUACUGGGCGUAAAGCGCACGCAGGCGGUUUGUUAAGUCAGAUGUGAAAUCCCCGCGCUUAACGUGGGAACUGCAUUUGAAACUGGCAAGCUAGAGUCUUGUAGAGGGGGGUAGAAUUCCAGGUGUAGCGGUGAAAUGCGUAGAGAUCUGGAGGAAUACCGGUGGCGAAGGCGGCCCCCUGGACAAAGACUGACGCUCAGGUGCGAAAGCGUGGGGAGCAAACAGG
This 759-nucleotide ribosomal RNA is filed under the name uncultured Enterobacteriaceae bacterium. RNAcentral describes it as "bacterial SSU rRNA". It matches the Rfam family "Bacterial small subunit ribosomal RNA", at positions 28 to 776 of the family's 1533-position model. The record is from RNAcentral. Lineage: Bacteria; Pseudomonadati; Pseudomonadota; Gammaproteobacteria; Enterobacterales; Enterobacteriaceae.